AAAGCGUAAUAGCUCACUGGUCGAGUCGGCCUGCGCGGAAGAUGUAACGGGGCUAAACCAUGCACCGAAGCUGCGGCAGCGACGCUUAUGCGUUGUUGGGUAGGGGAGCGUUCUGUAAGCCUGUGAAGGUGUGCUGUGAGGCAUGCUGGAGGUAUCAGAAGUGCGAAUGCUGACAUAAGUAACGAUAAAGCGGGUGAAAAGCCCGCUCGCCGGAAGACCAAGGGUUCCUGUCCAACGUUAAUCGGGGCAGGGUGAGUCGACCCCUAAGGCGAGGCCGAAAGGCGUAGUCGAUGGGAAACAGGUUAAUAUUCCUGUACUUGGUGUUACUGCGAAGGGGGGACGGAGAAGGCUAUGUUGGCCGGGCGACGGUUGUCCCGGUUUAAGCGUGUAGGCUGGUUUUCCAGGCAAAUCCGGAAAAUCAAGGCUGAGGCGUGAUGACGAGGCACUACGGUGCUGAAGCAACAAAUGCCCUGCUUCCAGGAAAAGCCUCUAAGCAUCAGGUAACAUCAAAUCGUACCCCAAACCGACACAGGUGGUCAGGUAGAGAAUACCAAGGCGCUUGAGAGAACUCGGGUGAAGGAACUAGGCAAAAUGGUGCCGUAACUUCGGGAGAA
RNAcentral lists this ribosomal RNA (614 nucleotides) under Escherichia coli. RNAcentral describes it as "partial 23S ribosomal RNA". It matches the Rfam family "Bacterial large subunit ribosomal RNA", at positions 1129 to 1744 of the family's 2925-position model. Lineage: Bacteria; Pseudomonadati; Pseudomonadota; Gammaproteobacteria; Enterobacterales; Enterobacteriaceae. The record is from RNAcentral.